RNAcentral lists this ribosomal RNA (300 nucleotides) under uncultured Bacillus sp. RNAcentral describes it as "partial 16S ribosomal RNA". It matches the Rfam family "Bacterial small subunit ribosomal RNA", at positions 496 to 795 of the family's 1533-position model. Lineage: Bacteria; Bacillati; Bacillota; Bacilli; Caryophanales; Bacillaceae. The record is from RNAcentral.
GUUAACUGCGUGCCGGCAGUGGGUGGAAUAGGAGGGUGUCAAGGGUGAAUGGGAAUUAGUGAGGUGAAAGGGUGCUCAGGCGGUUCGUGAAGGCUGUUGUGAAGUCCCCGGGCGCAACCUGGGAAUGGAAAUGGAGACUGGCGAGCUAGAGGGUGGCAGAGGAUGGUGGAAUUCCGGGUGUAGCGGUGAAAUGCGUAGAGAUCGGGAGGAACAUCAGUGGCGAAGGCGGCCAUCUGGGACAACACUGACGCUGAAGCACGAAAGCGUGGGGAGCAAACAGGAUUAGAUACCCUUGUAGUC